Molecule: ribosomal RNA, 250 nt
Filed under: uncultured bacterium
Lineage: Bacteria
Description: partial 16S ribosomal RNA
Rfam family: Bacterial small subunit ribosomal RNA
Source: RNAcentral
UACGUAGGGGGCAAGCGUUGUCCGGAAUUAUUGGGCGUAAAGCGCGCGCAGGCGGCCGUUUAAGUCUGGUGUUUAAGCCCGGGGCUCAACCCCGGAACGCACUGGAAACUGGGCGGCUUGAGUGCAGGAGAGGAGAGCGGAAUUCCACGUGUAGCGGUGAAAUGCGUAGAGAUGUGGAGGAACACCAGUGGCGAAGGCGGCUCUCUGGUCUGUAACUGACGCUGAGGCGCGAAAGCGUGGGGAGCAAACA